Molecule: ribosomal RNA, 382 nt
Filed under: uncultured Glomeromycotina
Lineage: Eukaryota; Fungi; Glomeromycota
Description: SSU rRNA
Rfam family: Eukaryotic small subunit ribosomal RNA
Source: RNAcentral
AGCAGCCGCGGUAAUUCCAGCUCCAAUAGCGUAUAUUAAAGUUGCUGCAGUUAAAAAGCUCGUAGUUGAAUUUCGAGAUCAAUAUGUUGGUCGUGCCUUGGUACGUACUGGCCUAUUGGUUUCUUCCUUCUGACGAACCAUGAUGUCAUUAAUUUGGUGUCUUGGGAAAUCAGGACUGUUACUUUGAAAAAUUAGAGUGUUUAAAGCAGGCUCAUGCUUGAAUACAUUAGCAUGGAAUAAUAAAAUAGGACGUUUGAUUCUAUUUUGUUGGUUUCUAGGAUCGACGUAAUGAUUAAUAGGGAUAGUUGGGGGCAUUAGUAUUCAAUUGUCAGAGGUGAAAUUCUUGGAUUUAUUGAAGACUAACUACUGCGAAAGCAUUUGC